AUACAGUAACUACCAUAACUAACAGCCAUAGGGGGGGAGAUAAGCUAAAACACAAAUUGUCUAUGGGUAACCCUGCUGACCCUGACCCAACCCCGGAAGAGGCGUACGAAAAACUCUAGGAGCCCUAUCCUACAAUCCUGAUUCUAGACCUCCAGACUUUCCUAUCAAGGGUCAUAUCCUCAGAAACCUGCAUUCUAAUCAUGUCCUGCCUAAUCACCUCUCCCCAAUACUUCUUAGGCCUCCCU
RNAcentral lists this long non-coding RNA (245 nucleotides) under Nicotiana benthamiana. RNAcentral's name for it is "long non-coding RNA (NBEN_LNC001274)". The record is from RNAcentral. Lineage: Eukaryota; Viridiplantae; Streptophyta; Magnoliopsida; Solanales; Solanaceae.